GGCUCAGGAUGAACGCUGGCAGCGUGCCUAACACAUGCAAGUCGAACGGACUCAUUUUGAGGUAGCAAUACGGAUAAAUGAGUUAGUGGCGGACGGGUGAGUAACACGUAGGUAACCUACCCUUUGGAGGGGGACAACUCAGGGAAACUUGAGCUAAUACCCCAUAAGACCACGUACAGAGAUGUAUGAGGUAAAAGUGGCAACACACCGAAGGACGGGCCUGCGGCCUAUCAGGUAGUUGGUGAGGUAACGGCUCACCAAGCCAAAGACGGGUAGCCGGGCUGAGAGGUUGAACGGCCACACUGGAACUGAGAUACGGUCCAGACUCCUACGGGAGGCAGCAGUGGGGAAUCUUGCACAAUGGGCGAAAGCCUGAUGCAGCGACGCCGCGUGGAGGAUGAAGGCCUUCGGGUUGUAAACUCCUUUUCUUGGGAAAGAUGAUGACGGUACCCAAGGAAUAAGCCACGGCUAACUCUGUGCCAGCAGCCGCGGUAAGACAGAGGUGGCAAGCGUUGUUUGGAAUUACUGGGCUUAAAGGGCGAGUAGGCGGUGGAGCAAGUCUGAGGUGGAAUCCUAUGGCUUAACCAUAGAACUGCCUUAGAAACUGCUUUACUUGAGUCAGUGAGGGGAGGGCGGAAUUCCUGGUGUAGCGGUGAAAUGCGUAGAUAUCCGGAGGAAGGCCUGUGGCGAAAGCGGCCCUCUGGCACUGUACUGACGCUGAGGCGCGAAAGCGUGGGGAGCAAACAGGAUUAGAUACCCUGGUAGUCCACGCCCUAAACGGUGGGCAUUAGGUGUAGGGCUCGUAAGGGUUCUGUGCCGAAGGGAAACCAUUAAAUGCCCCGCCUGGGGGAUACGGCCGCAAGGUUGAACUUAAGGAAUUGACGGAA
This 887-nucleotide ribosomal RNA is filed under the name uncultured bacterium. RNAcentral's name for it is "bacterial SSU rRNA". It matches the Rfam family "Bacterial small subunit ribosomal RNA", at positions 21 to 918 of the family's 1533-position model. The record is from RNAcentral.